GUUGAACGUGGCAGAUCUUUUCUCUUACGUGGGAUCUGUUGGGUGGUUUUAUAUAUAUAUUUGAUGUGAGAAAAGAACAAGAUGAUCCAACCUAGUUCUUGAGGAUCGAGCUAUGUUGCCGAGGAAUCCGGGGACAGGUCAAAGAAGAAUACUGAAACACUCUUCAUUCGAUCUACAUUAUCUCAAUAAACAAUAUCAACUAUCAAAAUCCUGUCAAUGCUGUCGCCCCAAUUUUCAAAACCUCUACUCCUUCUUACUAUACCUACUCCUUUCUACCACACAUACCCUACACCUUUCUAUCUACAAUAAUACAAUGAAACUCAUCAUACCGCUUUUCUUUCUAUUUCUCAUCUUUACCUUCAAUGUCUUUUAUGUUUUUCAAGGGGAAGCACUUAUCACCCAAGGAGUUCCGCCUUCUGGGAGUUCUGCAACUAUUACAGGUGGGUGUGAAAAGCAAAGGGGUGAAUACAAGGAAGAAAGAAGUGGGUCGGAAGAAAGUGUAUUAGAGAAUGAAGAUUAUGUCUAUACCAACUCCUUGCCUUAGAUGUUAAAGUUUAGCUUCGUUGCUUGUCUUGUAGUAAGAGGAAUUCUUCUGCGGGAUAAUGUGCUGAUGUCCAAAUGUAAAGGAUCUAUAACUUCUUGCUGUUGAGUGGUAUUUGAUUAGUAAAGCUCUGUCUUCUCGAUUGGAGUUGGCUCA
Molecule: long non-coding RNA, 697 nt
Organism: Vigna angularis (adzuki bean)
Lineage: Eukaryota; Viridiplantae; Streptophyta; Magnoliopsida; Fabales; Fabaceae
Exons: 2
Source: RefSeq, a predicted model, not a curated record